CCUACGGGAGGCAGCAGUAGGGAAUAUUGCUCAAUGGGGGAAACCCUGAAGCAGCAACGCCGCGUGGAGGAUGAAGGUUUUCGGAUUGUAAACUCCUUUUGUUAGAGAAGAUAAUGACGGUAUCUAACGAAUAAGCACCGGCGAAGUCCGUGCCAGCAGCCGCGGUAAUACGGAGGGUGCAAGCGUUACUCGGAAUCACUGGGCGUAAAGAGCGCGUAGGCGGGAUAGCAAGUCAGAGGUGAAAUCCUAUGGCUUAACCAUAGAACUGCAUUUGAAAUUGUUAUUAUAGAGUAUGGGAGAGGUAGGUGGAAAGCUGGGUGUAGGGGUAAAAGCCGUAGAGAUAAAGAGGAAUACUCAUUGCGAAGGCGACCUGCUAGAACAUAACUGACGCUGAUGCGCGAAAGCGUGGGGAGCAAACAGGAUUAGAUACCCCAGUAGUC
This 440-nucleotide ribosomal RNA is filed under the name uncultured bacterium. Its description in RNAcentral is "partial 16S ribosomal RNA". It matches the Rfam family "Bacterial small subunit ribosomal RNA", at positions 338 to 795 of the family's 1533-position model. The record is from RNAcentral.